RNAcentral lists this ribosomal RNA (620 nucleotides) under uncultured bacterium. RNAcentral's name for it is "bacterial SSU rRNA". It matches the Rfam family "Bacterial small subunit ribosomal RNA", at positions 338 to 949 of the family's 1533-position model. The record is from RNAcentral.
CCUACGGGAGGCAGCAGUAGGGAAUCUUCCGCAAUGGACGAAAGUCUGACGGAGCAACGCCGCGUGAACGAUGAAGGCCUUCGGGUCGUAAAGUUCUGUUGUUAGGGAAGAACAAGUGCUAGUUAAAUAAGCUGGCACCUUGACGGUACCUAACCAGAAAGCCACGGCUAACUACGUGCCAGCAGCCGCGGUAAUACGUAGGUGGCAAGCGUUGUCCGGAAUUAUUGGGCGUAAAGCGCGCGCAGGCGGUUUCUUAAGUCUGAUGUGAAAGCCCCCGGCUCAACCGGGGAGGGUCAUUGGAAACUGGGAAACUUGAGUGCAGAAGAGGAAAGUGGAAUUCCAAGUGUAGCGGUGAAAUGCGUAGAGAUUUGGAGGAACACCAGUGGCGAAGGCGACUUUCUGGUCUGUAACUGACGCUGAGGCGCGAAAGCGUGGGGAGCAAACAGGAUUAGAUACCCUGGUAGUCCACGCUGUAAACGAUGAGUGCUAAGUGUUAGAGGGUUUCCGCCCUUUAGUGCUGAAGUUAACGCAUUAAGCACUCCGCCUGGGGAGUACGGUCGCAAGACUGAAACUUAAGAGUAGUAGACGUGAGACGUGCGACGACGACACAGGGAGGUAGG